UACGUAGGGUGCAAGCGUUGUCCGGAAUUAUUGGGCGUAAAGAGCUCGUAGGCGGUCUGUCGCGUCUGCUGUGAAAACCCGGGGCUCAACCCCGGGCUUGCAGUGGAUACGGGCAGACUAGAGUUCGGUAGGGGAGACUGGAAUUCCUGGUGUAGCGGUGAAAUGCGCAGAUAUCAGGAGGAACACCGGUGGCGAAGGCGGGUCUCUGGGCCGAUACUGACGCUGAGGAGCGAAAGCGUGGGGAGCGAACAGG
Molecule: ribosomal RNA, 253 nt
Filed under: uncultured bacterium
Lineage: Bacteria
Description: partial 16S ribosomal RNA
Rfam family: Bacterial small subunit ribosomal RNA
Source: RNAcentral